ACGAUUUCAACCCAUGUGCAGCAACUAAAGAUUUCAAGUGGUCAGGAGCUCGGGUGGGAUUUCAUCAGGUGCCUGACCAGCAGGGCCCCGUGAGCACAGGGUUUGCAGAGCUUGUACUGGAUCGUGGCAGAGUUCAUGAAUCUGGAGCUGUGCAGAGCUCGGGGUGUUGGCUGUGCCAUCCAUCAGCCUGGGCACUGCCUCCAACGUGGUGGGCACAGCUGAUGGGACAGCUGAGGUCCUGCAGCCUGGCACUGGGGCUCUUGUCCUCCCACAGACCUGCUCGUCGUGUUGGCACACGGCACAAAAGCGUCCCCGAAACACUUCGCUCCAAGCUCCGGAGAUCCAUGGAGGGAAGAUGCCUCUGGAAGAGCGACCAAGCCCUUGCUUGUGCCAGCUGGAGGGCUUUUUGCAUGUUUCCACGAGCUGAAAAAUCUCUGAGACCAGAACCCUGAAUGUUUGCAAAUACUGCUUUCCAUCUGAGAGCUGCCCUCCAGAAAUACCACGGAAAAAGCCUGAGAAACCACUCAGCCUGUUAUCUGUGUACCACAAAUAAAGAGGUUUCCCUGGUGUGGGGUUUUAUCUCCUUUGCUCAGGUCCUUGAAUUAUUUGGAUAAUGAAAAGCCCAGGAAAGCCAGUGUUCUACUUUGUAGAAGCAGCAAAACAAAAUUUCCAACUGUGAGGCUUGGACUGAAGCAUUUGAUGAGGGGAAAAGUCCGGCUGGACCAGAAAGCGAAGGAAAACACAGUGAUGCCAGUGGAACUGGCUGUGCCACCGUCUGGAAAUCCUGGAUACACCUGUAAAGGUCCAGAAAAUCACUAAGACAAAAGGAAGAAUCCUUACAUGCUGUUUUCACCGGGAAAAAGGGAACUCAAGAUGGAAGAGCCUUCAUAUACAGAAACCUUCCCCUUGGCAGCCUCCCCUCAGCCCGUCCUUGUGCUGGUGAAAGAGCCGGAUCAUCUUUAGUUCCACUCCAUGGGCAGGUUCUCCAGACCCCGAAUCCUUUCCAAAUUUCUAAAGAGGCAUUUUUCAAAGUCUGGGUAAGAAGCUGUGGGAAUCAAAAGAUCUGAGUUGUGUUCCCACUGGGCAAUGUUUUUCCUUUUAUUUCUCUUGGUUUCUUUGAUUUAUGUCCUGGGAGCUCUGUGGGACAGGGCUCUUUCCCAGAGGAAGGACCAUACAGGGCCUCACAUUUUGGAGCUCAUGUUCAAUAACAAGGUUAUUGAUAUUAAUUCAGAAAUACUUCAAAAGAGGAAUAAAUUACAACAAAAUGCAGAGCUGCUGCUUUUGCCCUUUACCCAAGUGCAAGCCAUGACUAUUACCAUAAAGAUCAAUGAAACUGGGUGGGUAUAAAACCAAAGGAGAGGGAGCAAAGAGAUUUCCCUUGGGAACAUGCUGUUGGUGUCUUGGAAAAAAUCCAUUUCAGAGCCUUAUCUGUGUAAAACAAGGGGGGAGUUCUUUUCUUCUGAGGUCUAAAACACCCAAACCAAGUCACCCUCCAUGAUUGCAGCAACCUAAGGUGAAGCUGAUCUCGUUGAAAAUUUUUGUGUGAAAGAAGCUCUCACUGCUGGGCUUCUGCAUCUCUCAAGUCUAUUUUAAGCCCUGUGAGCUCCAGCUGCACCUGGGCCCUCACAUGGAGCAUCCUGAGCUGCAUCAACCACGUGCUGCCAGGGUUAAUCAGGAGCUGCUCAGGUGGUUUUUGAAGGCACUUUAAACAGUGCACCCACAGAGAGAUCCAGCCACGUGUAACUCACCAGUCCUCCUCCCUCCUUUGAAUUUUGGGAUUUUUUUUUAUCCCACUGUGAGCCCUGCUGGGGGAAGGUGAUGCCCAGGGUAAUGAAACACCUUCUGAGGUGCCAGGGGAGGAUGUGUUCAAACCCUGUCAUGCCACUGACGCUUUUGGCCUCAUUGUGCUGCUCUUGAUAAAGUCAAGAGGAGCUUUAUGCUUUUUAAAGAUCUUCAGCUUCUAUGGGCUAUAAAGCAUCGACCUUAAAGGGAGGUGCUGAGGGAAGUAUCUCCCAGAUAGAUCUCUGUGGGACAGUCAGACAUGCCAGCUUUCCCCCAGCUGCUCCCUGAGCUGCCUUUUCCUAAGCUCACUUUAAAUGAAUGUGAUGAUUUCCCUCCUAGAGAAGAGCUGCCUGAAGCUGUUAAAACAUCUUAGGGGGACUGGGACAAUCUUCCCUUGGACAUUUCCUGAUGGAAGUGCACAGAAAGCUUUUUCCAGUUUGUUCUCAGCUGUUUGUUCCCACUGAGGCUCAGUCACAGUGCUGCAAAUUUCCUGAAUUCUGUGCUCCACGAUCCCAGGACUUGGAAAGGGCCCUGCAUUAGCUCAUUCCUACAGAGAUCCCAUCUCCGGCUCCAGUAACAAGGACUCCAGGAUAAAAAAAUCCUUUUGCAAUGAGCAGCUAAAGGGGAAAAUCCUCUAGUGGGAACCUCUGCUAAUUGUGGACCUGUGGCAAGUGAUUCCUAUUAAAUUAUUCAAUAAUCCCUAAGAGAUGAUCUGACUACAUCUCUCACCUCUGGAACCUUGCUGUGUUGCUGUUCAUCUGCAUCACCAGGUACUAAAGGAAUGAAUAGUAUUUAUGAGGUCCUGGGAAAACUGGUUCAAAAAGCAUUCAGGGUGCGUGUGUGAGAGAGAAAUGAGGGGGAAACAGUCCCCACGGACCCUGGGGAGGGGAAUGUGUGAGUGGGCACUGCCUGCAGCCCCUGCUGCACCAGCAGGGCCUUUGCAGGGGGCUGGGAGGGGAUGCAGGUGAGGAUGCUCUGCAGAGCAAAAGCAGUCACGUCCUCCCACUGCCUUGACUUAAUUUAGCUCGGAGCCUGGCAGAGGAUGCAGCUCGGAGCCUUCCUGGGGGGCUCGGUCUGGGAGCCCUUUGCUCGCGGGUUGGUGCUCUGGGGGAGGGUGUGAGA
Molecule: long non-coding RNA, 2904 nt
Organism: Pipra filicauda (Wire-tailed manakin)
Lineage: Eukaryota; Metazoa; Chordata; Aves; Passeriformes; Pipridae
Exons: 6
Source: RefSeq, a predicted model, not a curated record